Molecule: ribosomal RNA, 468 nt
Filed under: uncultured bacterium
Lineage: Bacteria
Description: partial 16S ribosomal RNA
Rfam family: Bacterial small subunit ribosomal RNA
Source: RNAcentral
GACGAACGCUGGCGGCGUGCUUAACACAUGCAAGUCGAACGGAAAGGCCCUGCUUUUGUGGGGUGCUCGAGUGGCGAACGGGGGAGUAACACGUGAGUAACCUGCCCUUGACUUUGGGAUAACUUCAGGAAACUGGGGCUAAUACCGGAUAGGAGCUCCUUCUGCAUGGUGGGGGGUGGAAAGUUUCGGCGGGUGGGGAUGGACUCGCGGCUUAUCAGCUUGUUGGUGGGGUAGUGGCUUACCAAGGCUUUGACGGGUAGCCGGCCUGAGAGGGUGACCGGCCACAUUGGGACUGAGAUACGGCCCAGACUCCUACGGGAGGCAGCAGUGGGGAAUAUUGCACAAUGGGCGGAAGCCUGAUGCAGCAACGCCGCGUGCGGGAUGACGGCCUUCGGGUUGUAAACCGCUUUCGCCUGUGACGAAGCGUGAGUGACGGUAAUGGGUAAAGAAGCACCGGCUAACUACGUG